UACGUAGGGGGCUAGCGUUGUCCGGAAUCAUUGGGCGUAAAGAGCGCGUAGGCGGCCAGAUAAGUCCGGUGUGAAAGUCACAGGCUCAACCUGUGAAUGCCGCUGGAAAUUGUCUGGCUUGAGGCCGGGAGGGGGUAGCGGAAUUCCCAGUGUAGCGGUGAAAUGCGUAGAUACUGGGAGGAACACCAGUGGCGAAGGCGGCUACCUGGACCGGUACUGACGCUGAUGCGCGAAAGCGUGGGUAGCAAACAGG
Molecule: ribosomal RNA, 253 nt
Filed under: uncultured bacterium
Lineage: Bacteria
Description: partial 16S ribosomal RNA
Rfam family: Bacterial small subunit ribosomal RNA
Source: RNAcentral